GAUGAACGCUAGCUACAGGCUUAACACAUGCAAGUCGAGGGGAAACGGCAUCGAAAGCUUGCUUUUGAUGGGCGUCGACCGGCGCACGGGUGAGUAACGCGUAUCCAACCUGCCCAUCACUUGGGAAUAACCUUGCGAAAGUAAGACUAAUGCCCAAUGACAUCCCACGAAGGCAUCCGAAUGGGAUUAAAGAUUUAUCGGUGAUGGAUGGGGAUGCGUCUGAUUAGCUUGUUGGCGGGGUGACGGCCCACCAAGGCAACGAUCAGUAGGGGUUCUGAGAGGAAGGUCCCCCACAUGGGAACUGGGACACGGUCCAAACUCCUACGGGAGGCAGCAGUGAGGAAUAUUGGUCAAUGGGCGAGAGCCUGAACCAGCCAAGUAGCGUGCAGGAUGACGGCCCUAUGGGUUGUAAACUGCUUUUAUAAGGGAAUAAAGUGGGUCACGUGUGACUUUUUGCAUGUACCUUAUGAAUAAGGACCGGCUAAUUCCGUG
This 492-nucleotide ribosomal RNA is filed under the name uncultured bacterium. RNAcentral's name for it is "partial 16S ribosomal RNA". It matches the Rfam family "Bacterial small subunit ribosomal RNA", at positions 28 to 507 of the family's 1533-position model. The record is from RNAcentral.